Long non-coding RNA from Pangasianodon hypophthalmus (striped catfish), 1534 nucleotides. RefSeq lists it as uncharacterized. The transcript is spliced from 3 exons. The record is from RefSeq and is a predicted model, not a curated record. NCBI's taxonomy places the organism in Eukaryota, Metazoa, Chordata, Actinopteri, Siluriformes, Pangasiidae.
CAUAUAUAAAUUAGCAGAAUAAUAUAAGUUUUUAAUAAUAUAAAUCAUUUGAAAAAAAGUUUGUCCAUGCAUUUCAGGUCAUGUCAUGACAAGUGGUUAGCUAUUUUACAAACCUGUAUUCUGAAAGCACAAACAGUUGCGUAUAAGUGCUUCCAGGGUCAAAGUUCAGGAGAAUGAGCGGCCAUUUCAACCAGCACCAGCAGAGGUUCUCUCCACACUCGAGAUCAGCCGAAUCAGAGGCAAAAUGCACGAAUGAAGCCGACUCGUUGAAAUACAUCUUUGGAUUCGAAUUUGAUGGUUUUACGUCUCGAGCUUGACUCGGUCUUGCCUAGUCCUGGUCUUGCACUUGAUGAGGGUCUUCUUGACUACAGCCCUAAUUUUGAAUCUUUAGCCUGCUUACACAUCAGAUGCCACACCUCCGAACCUGCAACACAAAAUAACCCAUAAGAACGUUCCAAUUCAUCUCUCCAGUCAAAAGUGAUGAGUUUUUUAGCUUUAGCACUUCUGAACAGAGGAAGUAACUCGCUCAGGGCCAGAUGUGUGUACGUAAGGAGACGUUCACAACGUGUCUGAAAUUAACAUUUCAUUUUCUAAAGCUGUAGCUCAUCACAGAAACCCAAGACACAUGGAACCAUCUACUAAAUGCACUGUGUGUGUGUGUGUGUGUGUGUGUGUUUUAAAAGCUGCUGUGAAGUGGUACAGACAAAAAGCUCGGGACUUGUAAAGAGGAAAUACAAGUUCAGUAACAAAGAUAAUGUGUUUAAUAAAAGAAGUUCUCAUGCAGUAAAGUUUUAAUGAAGAAGAACAAUCACACUGUAUUCAUUUUUCCUGUGGUUGAUUGUGGCUUUGGAAAAUUGGCAGAUCUCACCAAAGUGCUGUUUAAUGUGUUGAAUUUCUUGUUAAAUGUCAGGAAAAUUGAUGUUUCUGUUCCUGAUGUAAUGCAUUAUAACCAGAUCUGCAUGACAAAAGCAGCUCAAUUGAUAAACAGCAUUAAAACAAACCGCUUCCCCCCGAAUAAUUCUUUCUUAGUUCAAAGCCCUAAAAUAGUCCUGUAUUAUUACACACGCUGUCAUGAAUAAAAUAUAUAGGAAAUAUACAGGAAACAACUGAGCCACAAGAAUGGAGCCCAUUUUUUUGAGACCUGCACAAAAACUGACCGCGGCUAAUCGCCCAAUAUUUAGUACAUCAGACAGGAAUAUGUAAUCAGCUGCACUUCACAUUUCUCCAAUCUGCUGUUUUCCUCACUUUUUGCUUGAUCCUCCCUCAUCUGCAUGAGAAACAGAAACGCACUUUGCAUGUUGCCGUGCUUAAGUUGCGUGUUUAGGCUUGCACACCAGGUUCUUACAUAACACACAAGGCUUUUGGUGCAGAAUGAGACCUAAUUACAGCUGAGAACGGGAGCAAACAACAAAAUAUCUGGCCCUCAGUGUCUCCUUGUUGUUUGCCACACACACACACACACACACACACUUGAAAGAACCCAAACAUUUUUUUUUAAAUAAAAAAUCCAUAAAUACCUUGAGCUAAAUCAGAU